ACAAAAAAAUUGCAUUUGGGUCACCAUACGUGCCAGCGAGCCCAGGUCGGCAAGGCCGUGGCCUCAGUUGACUCGUCACCUCCCUCCGGCUUGGCUUCCGGCCAGCCUCAGUGACGUUCAUGCACGCGCGCGGAGCAAUGCCACCUCUCGUGGAAAAUUGGCCGGAUGUCAUCAAAGGGGCAGAGCCGCCUGAUUGUUGGCUUUUUCCGUAAGGGCGCUCGUAAAAGGUCACAAGAGGUGCGAGUCGGCGACGCACGCCACACUUUUUGAUCGUUUGACGUGCCGGCUAGUCCGUGCACGUCAGAAAUUCGACAGCUGUCCUGUUCAUGGAAAAAUCCACCGUGUGCGGCCGUCAGCAACGUGUUGGUAUUAUUCCUCGCUACAAUUGCGUGUUGAUUUAAAAUGGCUACAAUUAAGCAGAUUAUUUUUCCAGAGCUCAAUGUCCAGCCACGUUUAUUUAUGUUUUACACCAAACUUUUUUUUUUUUUUUUUCUUUCUACGCAGCCUAUCUAGGCAGCAAGCCAGUUAGCCUCAAAUUACAUGUGGCCUGCGGCUCGAGGCUAAGUCACUUGAAUGCUCACGCCAUCUGUAACAAACUGUACAGGAUGCUAACGUUACAGGCCAGGGGAACUUCACUCCAUUCACUUUCCACCAGUAUGCUUGACUGUUUUUUGUUUUCUUCAAAAUGCA
Syngnathus acus (greater pipefish) is the source of this 690-nucleotide long non-coding RNA. RefSeq lists it as uncharacterized. The transcript has 2 exons. Lineage: Eukaryota; Metazoa; Chordata; Actinopteri; Syngnathiformes; Syngnathidae. The record is from RefSeq and is a predicted model, not a curated record.